UUAAUAACCAGUCCGCAACGGCGAUUCAUCAAUCCUCGCCUUCUCUCCGCGCCGCGACGCUACCCCGCCCCAUCCGCCAGGCCGUCGCCGCCAGCAGUCUCCCCACCCUCGACCCGCUCCGCCGUCGCGCUUCCGGAGGAGGCAGAUAGGAGAAGGUGAUCGGCUGCGAUGGCCCGCUUGUACGUCGGGAACCUGGAUCCUCGGGUGACGGCACGGGAGCUCGAGGACGAGUUCCGCACCUUUGGAGUUCUUCGGAGUGUUUGGGUUGCUCGGAAACCACCUGGCUUUGCAUUUAUUGAUUUUGAUGACAAGAGGGAUGCUGAGGAUGCAAUCCGUGAUCUUGAUGGCAAGAAUGGAUGGAGAGUUGAGCUAUCACGUAGUGCCAGCAGUGGUCGUGGUGGUCGUGAUCGGUAUGGUGGGUCUGAGUCUAAGUGCUACGAGUGUGGUGAGACUGGGCACUUUGCUCGUGAGUGUCGUUUGAGGAUUGGUUCUGGAGGUCUAGGCAGUGGAAGGCGCCGAAGCAGGAGCCGCAGCCGCAGCCGCAGCCCCAGAUACCGACGGAGUCCAAGUUAUGGAAGAAGAAGCUACAGUCCUGCAACACGCUCUCCAAGGCGUCGUAGCGUGUCACCAGCCCCAGCUCGUGGACGCAGCUAUAGCAGGUCACCACACCGUGCACGGGAGACGUCUCCUAACGGAUACCGCCGCAGCAGGAGCUAGAGCCAGAUAUUUGUCUGUGACAGAUAUUGCUCUUUGGCCCAUCAUCUAUGAUCAAUAACCUACUUGAAAGAUCCAUCGCAGACUGCUUGACUUUUGGUUAAGGCAUCGUCCUGCACUGCUUAAACGACUCGGCCGACUACGGCUCAGUAAUGUCUUCAUGGUUUUGUUCUGCGCUCUUCAUUCUUCGCACGCCCUCGCAUGCUUCAUUCAGACAAAUGCUGCAUGUUAUCUGCCUACAGCUCCUCUUCGUGAUCCAUUUGCCUCGUUGAAGAUGCUGCGCAUCGCAAAGCAGUAAUGAUCUUCCUUCUCAUACCAUUUGGUAAGGUUUGAUUGUGCUGACAAAUGCAGCAUCUGGUAAGUUUCUCCGUAGGCUGGGUCACCGUAAACCGCUCCUGAUUCAGGAACUGCAGUGUUUAGAUGGAUGACUCACCUGCGCAUCACUUGCUUCAGAGAACCAAGGUAAGUGAGUGCCAGAAAGUUAACUGACCAGGCCGAGUGCUACAUUGAGUCGACUUCUGGCUUUGCUCCACGUUUGCCACUUGCCACCACACGUUGCCUGCCUUCAACAGAGGAAGACUGUUGCAUUCAGCAAAAGAAGUCUUCCUCGCCUUCUGCCUCCGUCACUGCACCCUGAUUGACAUUCUUCAUAGAUGCCUUCUACGAGCGCCUUCUGAUUGAUGUUCUUCAUUAGAGCCCGCGGUGAAGCUGAAUCCUACGCCCAUCAUAUGCUGUCAUUUUGUGGUUAUUUUUGCAGAUAAUAUAUUAUCUUUAGCUUCUAAUCCUGUUGGAUAGGUUAAAUGUUGGGACUAAAGAUGGUAGAAUAUCGGAUGCUAUUGGAUAUCUAUACAAAUGGUAGAUACAUACAUUCUGGUAACCAUCAGUUUGACAGUUUGAUAACUGUCUGCGCCCUGAAUUCGGACCGCGCAGCUCAUGGUUGCUAUCUGCGCUUCCAUGUUUCUUA
Panicum virgatum (switchgrass) is the source of this 1678-nucleotide RNA transcript. It is a transcript of the gene named serine/arginine-rich splicing factor RSZ21A-like, with no coding region annotated. Lineage: Eukaryota; Viridiplantae; Streptophyta; Magnoliopsida; Poales; Poaceae. The transcript has 7 exons. The record is from RefSeq and is a predicted model, not a curated record.